UAAUCAAACAUGUGUUUACUUGUCAUGUUAAGCUUAUACAGAAGUGCCAUAAAGUCUGAUUGGCUUCUAAACUUUUCACCUCAGCACAAAAGAAGCAUGUAGCAUCCAAAAAUAAAAAGAGAUGAGUGAUAAUGCUGUAAUAUUGCAUGGCAAACAGUCAGGCAACUUCAUUAAUUAUAAAAUCCCUACAUUAAGUACAAAAAAGAAUAAAUUGUAAUGUACAAUAGUUUUGACUUUAUAUAUGAACACAUUAAUCACAGAGAUACAUGUCUUAUUCCUCUGAAUAUCAGCAUUUCCUUGAUAUAACCUAUUUAAAAAGGGUGGAUUUGUAUUGAAAGGAAUGCUGCAAUCUCUGACUGAGAAAUGCAGAACUGUAUACAAUGUGAUUCAGCCAAUUUUCCACAAACAUACAAUCCAAAAAUACUUCCCCAAGGUGUCUACACAGGAAGAGUUUAAGUGCUUUACCUGGAACUGCAACCGAGUGAUGCUGAAAUAAAACCCAUAGACUACUCACAACUACCACUGCUAGAUAGUGUUAAGUAAACAUGAAUAUGUACAGUCAUGGAAUAUCUACACUAAUCUGUGGUCACAUCAAAAAACAAA
Molecule: long non-coding RNA, 603 nt
Organism: Etheostoma spectabile (orangethroat darter)
Lineage: Eukaryota; Metazoa; Chordata; Actinopteri; Perciformes; Percidae
Exons: 2
Source: RefSeq, a predicted model, not a curated record